RNAcentral lists this ribosomal RNA (651 nucleotides) under Erwinia sp. OAMSP11. Its description in RNAcentral is "bacterial LSU rRNA". It matches the Rfam family "Bacterial large subunit ribosomal RNA", at positions 168 to 816 of the family's 2925-position model. The record is from RNAcentral. Lineage: Bacteria; Pseudomonadati; Pseudomonadota; Gammaproteobacteria; Enterobacterales; Erwiniaceae.
GGGUAUGGAAGACAGACCCAGGGAACUGAAACAUCUAAGUACCUGGAGGAAGAGAAAGCAAAUGCGAUUUCCUGAGUAGCGGCGAGCGAAACGGGAUCUAGCCCAAACCAAGAGGCUUGCCUCUUGGGGUUGUAGGACAUUCUAUACGGAGUUACAAAGGAACGAGGUAGACGAAGCGACCUGGAAAGGUCCGUCGUAGAGGGUAACAACCCCGUAGUCGAAACUUCGUUCUCUCUUGAAUGUAUCCUGAGUACGGCGGAACACGUGAAAUUCCGUCGGAAUCUGGGAGGACCAUCUCCCAAGGCUAAAUACUCCCUAGUGAUCGAUAGUGAACCAGUACCGUGAGGGAAAGGUGAAAAGCACCCCGGAAGGGGAGUGAAAGAGAUCCUGAAACCGUGUGCCUACAAAUAGUCAGAGCCCGUUAAUGGGUGAUGGCGUGCCUUUUGUAGAAUGAACCGGCGAGUUACGAUCCCGUGCAAGGUUAAGUUGAAGAGACGGAGCCGCAGCGAAAGCGAGUCUGAAUAGGGCGUUUAGUACGUGGUCGUAGACCCGAAACCAGGUGAUCUACCCAUGUCCAGGGUGAAGUUCAGGUAACACUGAAUGGAGGCCCGAACCCACGCACGUUGAAAAGUGCGGGGAUGAGGUGUGGGU